This 429-nucleotide ribosomal RNA is filed under the name Actinomycetes bacterium. RNAcentral's name for it is "Actinobacteria bacterium partial 16S ribosomal RNA". It matches the Rfam family "Bacterial small subunit ribosomal RNA", at positions 355 to 776 of the family's 1533-position model. Lineage: Bacteria; Bacillati; Actinomycetota; Actinomycetes. The record is from RNAcentral.
UAGGGAAUCUUCCGCAAUGGGCGAAAGCCUGACGGAGCAACGCCGCGUGAGUGAUGAAGGUCUUCGGAUCGUAAAACUCUGUUAUUAGGGAAGAACAAAUGUGUAAGUAACUAUGCACGUCUUGACGGUACCUAAUCAGAAAGCCACGGCUAACUACGUGCCAGCAGCCGCGGUAAUACGUAGGUGGCAAGCGUUAUCCGGAAUUAUUGGGCGUAAAGCGCGCGUAGGCGGUUUUUUAAGUCUGAUGUGAAAGCCCACGGCUCAACCGUGGAGGGUCAUUGGAAACUGGAAACCUUGAGUGCAGAAGAGGAAAGUGGAAUUCCAUGUGUAGCAGUGAAAUGCGCAGAGAUAUGGAGGAACACCAGUGGCGAAGGCGACUUUCUGGUCUGUAACUGACGCUGAUGUGCGAAAGCGUGGGGAUCAAACAGG